GACGAACGCUGGCGGCGUGCUUAACACAUGCAAGUCGAACGGAAAGGCCCCUUUGGGGGUACUCGAGUGGCGAACGGGUGAGUAACACGUGAGUAACCUGCCCUUGACUUCGGGAUAACUUCAGGAAACUGGGGCUAAUACCGGAUAGGAAUCCUUGCUGCAUGGUGGGGGUUGGAAAGCUUCGGCGGUUUUGGAUGGACUCGCGGCUUAUCAGCUUGUUGGUGGGGUAGUGGCUUACCAAGGCUUUGACGGGUAGCCGGCCUGAGAGGGCGACCGGCCACAUUGAGACUGAGGUACGGCCCAGACUCCUACGGGAGGCAGCAGUGGGGAAUAUUGCACAAUGGGCGGAAGGCUGAUGCAGCAACGCCGCGUGCGGGAUGACGGCCUUCGGGUUGUAAACCGCUUUCAGCAGGGGCGAAGCUUGUGGUGACGGUACCUGCAGAAGAAGCACCGGCUAACUACGUG
Molecule: ribosomal RNA, 465 nt
Filed under: uncultured bacterium
Lineage: Bacteria
Description: partial 16S ribosomal RNA
Rfam family: Bacterial small subunit ribosomal RNA
Source: RNAcentral